This 468-nucleotide ribosomal RNA is filed under the name uncultured bacterium. RNAcentral describes it as "partial 16S ribosomal RNA". It matches the Rfam family "Bacterial small subunit ribosomal RNA", at positions 28 to 507 of the family's 1533-position model. The record is from RNAcentral.
GACGAACGCUGGCGGCGUGCUUAACACAUGCAAGUCGAACGGAAAGGCCCUGCUUUUGUGGGGUGCUCGAGUGGCGAACGGGUGAGUAACACGUGAGUAACCUGCCCUUGACUUUGGGAUAACUUCAGGAAACUGGGGCUAAUACCGGAUAGGAGCUCCUGCUCCAUGGUGGGGGUUGGAAAGUUUCGGCGGUUGGGGAUGGACUCGCGGCUUAUCAGCUUGUUGGUGGGGUAGUGGCUUACCAGGGCUUUGACGGGUAGCCGGCCUGGGAGGGUGACCGGCCACAUUGGGACUGAGAUACGGCCCAGACUCCUACGGGAGGCAGCAGUGGGGAAUAUUGCACAGUGGGCGGAAGCCUGAUGCAGCAACGCCGCGUGCGGGAUGACGGCCUUCGGGUUGUAAACCGCUGUCGCCUGUGACGAAGCGUGAGUGACGGUAAUGGGUAAAGAAGCACCGGCUAACUACGUG